Hucho hucho (huchen) is the source of this 134-nucleotide small nucleolar RNA. The record is from Ensembl. Lineage: Eukaryota; Metazoa; Chordata; Actinopteri; Salmoniformes; Salmonidae.
CUUCCCCUCCCUUACUCCAGUCACUCUGUCCCCAGUGGAGUGGUCUGACAUUGACAGGGGAUACAGCACCACGGCUCUCUCACCUCUCAUCUAGGACCUUCAUCUUACAUGGGGCUUGUGAGAGAGCUGACAAU